UGUGGAAGGGACCUACAACUGAUUAAUCAAUGGUCGAAAAGCUGUGCCAUACGAGAUAUACCUGAUACCUCUACUUUAUGGACCUUCUUGCUUAAAAUAAUAGGGAUGAAAUAGCUAAUUGAAGUGUUUGGGCAUAUGAUCUUCCAGGUGAAUGAUGCCAUUGAACAGCUUCCGGAGUACAUAGCAGAGUAGGGGAAGUAAUGGUGUAUGAUGCUGAAGAGGACGAAUUUGAGGUAGAUGGGGAUAUCACACAGGUGACAGUUCAUCCCAUUACAUGGUUUGGGAUGCUUUAUCCGCUCAACUGUUUGUUGAUUCAUGCGCUUGCUUAGGAAAUCAUGCAGUGUCCAACUUUAAUUUGGUUCAAGGAUAGUUUCCAUUUGAGUUCCGCACAAACUUGGCAUUUGUGUGUUGCCCAGUGUUUAGAAUAGGUAGCUGAAUAUUUGAAAUACAUUUCUCUUAAUGUCUCAAGUUUAGAUAUACAUUAGCUUUCCAUAAUUUAUUGCAGCUCAUCAUUUUCGGCUGAUCUAGAAUUGAAGCGUGGCGAUGGGGGUUGUCCCGUUAACCUGUGCACCUACUACUCGCUCAGUGGCCACGCCCCCGCACUGGUCGUGCUACUCUGGAACUUCACCGUGAAACGGCAGAUGGUACUAUCUAUUAUGUUUUCAGAAGAACUGGAAUGAAGGAGCUGACAUAAUGCAUUUCUUUAUAUUCUUCUUUGCUUCAUACUCAGGAUUCUCAACCUUUGGGAAAGAUAGCUAG
This is a long non-coding RNA of Lolium rigidum, 759 nucleotides long. RefSeq lists it as uncharacterized. The transcript is spliced from 3 exons. NCBI's taxonomy places the organism in Eukaryota, Viridiplantae, Streptophyta, Magnoliopsida, Poales, Poaceae. The record is from RefSeq and is a predicted model, not a curated record.